This 335-nucleotide unclassified non-coding RNA is filed under the name soil metagenome. RNAcentral describes it as "partial contains 5.8S ribosomal RNA, internal transcribed spacer 2, and large subunit ribosomal RNA". The stretch from base 1 to 120 matches the Rfam family "5.8S ribosomal RNA", at positions 35 to 154 of the family's 154-position model. The record is from RNAcentral.
GAUGAAGAACGUAGCGAAAUGCGAUAAGUAAUGUGAAUUGCAGAAUUCAGUGAAUCAUCGAAUCUUUGAACGCACAUUGCGCCCGCCAGUAUUCUGGCGGGCAUGCCUGUUCGAGCGUCAUUUCAACCAUCAAGCCCCCGGGCUUGUGUUGGGGACCUGCGGCUGCCGCAGGCCCUGAAAAGCAGUGGCGGGCUCGCUGUCACACCGAGCGUAGUAGAUUUUAUCUCGCUCUGGGCGUGCUGCGGGUUCCGGCCGUUAAACCACCCUUUUAACCCAAGGUUGACCUCGGAUCAGGUAGGAAGACCCGCUGAACUUAAGCAUAUCAUAGCGGAGGA